RNAcentral lists this ribosomal RNA (440 nucleotides) under uncultured bacterium. RNAcentral describes it as "partial 16S ribosomal RNA". It matches the Rfam family "Bacterial small subunit ribosomal RNA", at positions 338 to 795 of the family's 1533-position model. The record is from RNAcentral.
CCUACGGGUGGCAGCAGUGGGGGAUAUUGCACAAUGGGGGGAACCCUGAUGCAGCGACGCCGCGUGGGUGAAGGAGCGUUUCGGCGCGUAAAGCCCUAUCGGCAGGGAAGAAGAUGACGGUAUCUGACCAAGAAGCCCCGGCUAACUACGUGCCAGCAGCCGCGGUAAUACGGAGGGGGCAAGCGUUACCCGGAUUCACUGGGCGUAAAGGGGGCGCAGGCGGGAAAGCAAGCCAGAAGUGAAAGCCCAGGGCCUAACCCCGGGACUGCACUUGAAACUGCAAGGCUAGAGUACGGGAGGGGCAGGCGGAAUUCCUGGUGUAGCGGUAAAAUGCGUAGAUAUUAAGAGGAACACCGAUGGCGAAGGCGACCUGCUAGACUAUGACUGACGUUGAGGCGCGAAGGCGUGGGGAGCAAACAGGAUUAGAUACCCUGGUAGUC